AAGCCCCGGUAAACGGCGGUGGUAACUAUAACCAUCCUAAGGUAGCGAAAUUCCUUGUCGGGUAAGUUCCGACCUGCACGAAUGGCGUAAUGAUGGCCAGGCUGUCUCCACCCGAGACUCAGUGAAAUUGAACUCGCUGUGAAGAUGCAGUGUACCCGCGGCAAGACGGAAAGACCCCGUGAACCUUUACUAUAGCUUGACACUGAACAUUGAGCCUUGAUGUGUAGGAUAGGUGGGAGGCUUUGAAGUGUGGACGCCAGUCUGCAUGGAGCCGACCUUGAAAUACCACCCUUUAAUGUUUGAUGUUCUAACGUUGACCCGUAAUCCGGGUUGCGGACAGUGUCUGGUGGGUAGUUUGACUGGGGCGGUCUCCUCCUAAAGAGUAACGGAGGAGCACGAAGGUUGGCUAAUCCUGGUCGGACAUCAGGAGGUUAGUGCAAUGGCAUAAGCCAGCUUGACUGCGAGCGUGACGGCGCGAGCAGGUGCGAAAGCAGGUCAUAGUGAUCCGGUGGUUCUGAAUGGAAGGGCCAUCGCUCAACGGAUAAAAGGUACUCCGGGGAUAACAGGCUGAUACCGCCCAAGAGUUCAUAUCGACGGCGGUGUUUGGCACCUCGAUGUCGGCUCAUCACAUCCUGGGGCUGAAGUAGGUCCCAAGGGUAUGGCUGUUCGCCAUUUAAAGUGGUACGCGAGCUGGGUUUAGAACGUCGUGAGACAGUUCGGUCCCUAUCUGCCGUGGGCGCUGGAGAACUGAGGGGGGCUGCUCCUAGUACGAGAGGACCGGAGUGGACGCAUCACUGGUGUUCGGGUUGUCAUGCCAAUGGCACUGCCCGGUAGCUAAAUGCGGAAGAGAUAAGUGCUGAAAGCAUCUAAGCACGAAACUUGCCCCGAGAUGAGUUCUCCCUGACUCCUUGAGAGUCCUGAAGGAACGUUGAAGACGACGACGUUGAUAGGCCGGGUGUGUAAGCGCAGCGAUGCGUUGAGCUAACCGGUACUAAUGAACCGUGAGGCUUAACCUU
Molecule: ribosomal RNA, 1016 nt
Filed under: human gut metagenome
Description: bacterial LSU rRNA
Rfam family: Bacterial large subunit ribosomal RNA
Source: RNAcentral